CUUCGUCUCUGGUAACGUUUUUUCUCAGUGCCUUCGGGGGGUGUUGAAGUCUUUACGGGACGCCUCGAGAUAGUGUAGAUAGUGUAGUUGCGAAUAAAAAGCAGACACACCCCGGCGAGAAAGCUGAGACAACCGUCUGCACAGUCCUCCUCGCUUCUACACUUCUCCUUUUUUGGUGCGGUAAAGGACGCUGGCUCUCGAGAGUGUGUCUGUGGAGGAAGGUGCAAGUGAGGCCGAGUGGUAUGGUCCUUGAAAGUCGCAGCCGUUGUUAGCAGAGAUCGCCUGGUUCGUACACACCUGUCGGAGGUCUGCAAAUCGCCAACGCGGCAGUUCCCCCCUUCUCCGCAUUCGUUUCUCGGGGAGAGAACGACAUUACUCAGAGUCACCGUGUGCAGCUCUCAUUGAAUAGAGGAGAAUCUUUCGAACAUCCAUGUGUGACACCGCAGAGAGAGUGAACGCUUUACAGAGCGACCUGCGAGAUCCCUCGUAGAAGACGGAGGACUUCAGCAGCCCCACACC
RNAcentral lists this long non-coding RNA (519 nucleotides) under Toxoplasma gondii VEG. The record is from RNAcentral. Lineage: Eukaryota; Apicomplexa; Conoidasida; Eucoccidiorida; Sarcocystidae.